GGCAGAGGUGUUAACCUCCCUUCCAGGCUAAUGACAUUUGGUCCUCGGAUUGGACUAGAGAAGUGACCUGCUGUUGCUUUUAAAACAGUUGUUCAAGAUUUAAGGAGGCAGCUUUGGAAGGCUCCAGGCGGGAGUGGAUUUAGAGCGGCUGGAGCCUUUAUCGCCUUGAUCUAGGGAAGAUCCCUUCUUGUUUUUCGAGAUUUGCAUACUUGAAUAGCAAAUAUGUAUUUGAUUGUCUUUGAUACAUUUUGGAGCCAGACAGAGAGAGAGGUUAAAAGUAACCUCCUGACUUUCUUGCUGUUUAAGAAAUGCCUGUCUCUUGCUGGACAUGGUGGUGCAUGCCUAUAAUUCCAGCAGAAGGAUCAUUGCGAGUUCCAGCCUCAGCUACACAGGGCUCCCCUGCCUUGGGCACAACUUGCUAUCUUUAGGUACAUGGAAGACUUUCCCAGUGACUAUGAGUGGGAUUCGCGAGGCGCCGGACCCCUCAAACUGACUCAGCAGUUGCAGCUGAAUGCCGGCUAAUUCCUGUGGCAGGGUCCCCUGGGGCCUUCCUCACCGACACUCCGAGCCCUGCACCUCGUCGUCCCCAGUGCACCAGAGCCGGUAGGCGCCCAGCAGCACCGCCGCCAUCUGUGUCACCAGCGCCACCAGCGUGGAGUUCAACAGCAUCGCCCAGUCUGAGUCCACCGCUGCUCCCUCAGCCUGCUCCUGUCGUCAUUGUGGUGACCACUCUCCAGGAUGCCUCGCUUCAAGUCCCCAGGCCCCCACGCCCCCACCAUAACUGCCCAUCAGCGUCUCCCUCCCCUAUUUUCUGCCUUUUAAAUGUAUCCUGGUAUACUUUCCUCAUGGCAUGAGUCAUUUUUGAAAUAAUUAAAGUGUGUGAACUUACAUAAAGCCAACACGAAGAUAAAAAAAAAAAGUCACAAUCAGCCAUGCUUGGUACGCGGCUAGAUCUUAAAUUUGAGCCCAUGACCAAGGUACAGCCCAGUGGCACUGUGCCUGCCUGGCAAAGUUAAGGUCCUGAGUUUGAUUCCUGGUACCAAAAAUAAAUAAAUAAUUUUUAAAAAUUUUUUAAAAAGCUUAAAUGAGCCCAGCCUGGUUCUGAGAUCCUGUCUCAAAAAAUACCCAGUAAUAAUUUUCCUCGACUUUAUUCACUUUCGUGGUACUGUGGCUUGAACCCAGGGCCUUCACACUGAGCUACACCUCCAGCCUUUUUAAAAUUUUUUUGAGACAGAUUCUCACUAGGUUGAUAAAUUUGACCAAGUUGGUAAUUUGUACUCUUCCUACCUCAGCCUCCCUGAGUGCUAUGAUUACAGAUGUGCAAUCAUCACACCUGGCUAUUUUUAAAUUUAAUUUUUCUUGUUGCAAUUAGUGCCUAUGAACUUCACAAAACAUUGGGUUUCAUUUCAUACAUUUCGACUAAGUCCCUCUCCCCUGCCCUCUUCCUUGGGAGCUCAGUCUGGACCGUGGAUACUCCUGUGGCACAAGUACUGAGGCUGGGUUACUCCUGAGGCUACAGAAGGGAGCGGGGCAUGAAGAGUAGGUGGUGGGACCUCAAAGUACAGAGGAGGAGAGUAAUGAGAUUGGGAGAAGUCUGCUGGGAUGAAGUGAGGAUCCUAGCUCUUUUGUUCACAUUACUCAGCUAUUUCAUAAAAACAAUGGCGUGCAGUUACAACGUGCCAUGCUUUGCAUAAUCACUUUAUGUGAAUGUUCCAGUAUAGUUGUCACAACAACCCUAACUGGCAUCACUCACUUUGUGGGCAGAACUGCAGUGCUCGGGGAUUACUGGAAGGUGCCCAGCUGAGAAGGGUGGGAGCCAGGGCAACGCUGGAGGUCCACAGUCUGGUUCUGACCUCUGAGCCUGCUGUCUGCCUCCUUUUCCCCUUCUCCUGCUCUUCCAAUCCUUCUUUCUUCUUGGUGGCACCAGGUGUUGCCUUACGGCCUUGGCUAGGCAAGAGCUCUGGUGCUGCCUUGAUCUCAAACCCAUUCUGCCCUUCUUACCCCCUUAAGGGUUUCUGUUGCUCUGUGAACAACUGGUCCCCACUGUCCACCAGCACUGAUGGCCCAGAACACGCUGGUCACCUGCCUGGACCAUGGGCACUUUAAACUGUCUUCUUCUCCCUGUCCCCAGGCAGGGUCAGUAAAGAGAGGACACAGAAGCCUCAGGAGGGUAAGUAGAGUCACUGCCCCGGUGUCCAAGGUGAGGAUCCUGUUCUGACUGGCCAGGGGGUCUUUGGAGAUUCCUGGGAGGCAGAUUUUGGUUGUCACCAUGGGCAGGAAUCUGAUGCUGGGGAAUAGCCCUACAUCACGACUUGUAUCAUCCAUGGAAACUGUUUAAGAAUGGUUUAAAAAAGAGCUAAGCAUGGUGGUGCAUGUCUGUGAUACCAGUACUCGGAAGGCUGAGACAGGAGGACCCCCAGGUUGAGGCCAGCCUGGACAACUUAGCAAAUUCAUUGUCAGUGUGGAGUAUAUAGUGAGACAAAGGAGGAAGGGAGACAGGCGGAAGGAGGAAGAGGCAGCAGGAGGGGAGAAGGGAAGGGAGGGAGACAAGAAAAGGCCUUGCCUCUUGGUAAGAGUCGCGGCAAGGGCCAGAAGAACCAGCACUCCCGAUCUGGACAUGGUGGGACUCAGGCAGCUUAUUCACCUGCCCUCUUGGUAAGUGCCCCAGCGAGGGCCUGGAGGAGAACCAUUACCUGUGAGCCUACUGCCACAUGGGCUGAAAAUCAAGCACCCUUCCCCCGCCUGCUCCCUCCCCACAAAGCUACUGGGGAUAGAUGUCUCAGCAUCUCUUGGGAGGAUGACCAUAUGCAGUAUAGCAAAUAUGGGGGAUUUCCUUCUAUCUUCUGUUUGAAGGCAAAGGUUGUUUUUACUGUUUUGUUUCUUUAGCUCUAUUCAGUAUUCUCAAUUGGUUUUAUAAUGUUCUAUUUUUGGUUUGAUUUUGCUAUACCUAAUUGACUGGACAACUAUUGUUAAGUUAAAGAGAUAUACCAUAGUACCUAUUACUACUAUCCAGUAUCCUACUGUGAAAUCCUGUACCAAUUUCACUGCAUUGUCUCAAUUGGCUUUGUUCUGUCUUGUCCUGUUGCAUUUUUACUACUUUCAAAAUAAAAAAAGGUCUCCCCAAAUGUUUAUUUUUAUUUUUGUCUUUUUCUUUUUUAUCGGUACCGGGGAUCGAACUCAUGACUGCCUGCUUGCAAGGUAGGCGCUUAUCCUGCUCAGCUAAAUCCCCAGCCCCUAUGUUUAUUAAAAGAUACCAUUGGCCUGGGGCUGGGGAUUUAGCUCAGCGGCAUAAGCGCCUGCCUUGCAAGCAGGCAGUCGUGAGUUCGAUCCCUGGUACCGGUAAAAACGAAAAAGACAAAAAAAAAAAAAAAAAAGAUACCAUUGGCCAUCAUAACUUUUUGAUAGCCUAUACUGUUUCCCAGGUGCAGUGUAUACUUUUAUCUUUGCUCUCAUCCUCCUUUUCUAUUUAUUGGUCCAAGCUCACUGCAGAGCCAGUUUCCCUCCCACUCUUCAUUUUUGCUUUCUUAAAUGUACCUUGCCACUGCUACAAAUUAAUUAAUUAAUUAAUUAAUUAAUGCAUUGGAGCCAGGCAUGGUGGUGCACACCUGUUAUUCUGGCACUUGGGAGGCUGAGGCAGGCCAGCCUAGACUACAAAGUGAGUUUAAGGCUAGCCUGAACUGCAUAGUGAAACCCUGUCAGAAAAACAAAUGAGAGAGAGAGAGAGAGAGAGAGAGAGAGAGAGAGAGAGAGAGAGAGAGAGAGAGAGAAGAGGAGCAGGGCAGAUAUAAAUUCUGCCAUCUUAGCCUCAAUGAGUCUAAAGGACAGUAGCUGCACCUUCCUAUGCUUAGGUCUCCUCUAAGGCCUCAAUCAUGUAGUGGGGAGAGUGUGGAAGACACUCCCAAUCCUUUGGUUUUUGGUUGACCCUAUGUUCAGUAAUCCAGGCUGGUCUUAAACUCACUGUGUAGCUCAGGCUGGGCUGGGCUGACGGUUUUCCUGCCUUACCUCUGUGUUGCUGAGAUUACAGGUGUGCACCACCUUGAAGCUUCCAUCCUCUCAUUACCUAUUCAGGGAUGAAGUGUGAGGCUAGGGCCCGUGUACACAGUAUCUUCCCAGAAAGCAACAGUCCCUCCGUGGCUGGACCCCUCCCAAGGAAAUGUGGUGGGAGCCUUCUCAGAACAAAAAAAGAUGACAUGGGCACCACUCUGUAACAUACGCUGUACCCAAUCAGGUUGUUGUCAGUGUGUUAUUAUUGGAGGGAGACAAAGACACAAGAAUUGCAUAAAAAGUGAAACCCUGCCAUGCUUGGGGUUUUGCCUUUGGAUGUGAGUCCACUGAGUCAAUCAUAGUGCAAAUACUCUUCUUCCUGCACAGGGUCUCAGUUUCCUGUCUCUCUAUGUGGUAAUAUUAUAAACCUUAGUAUGGGGAGGAUUCGCUCCAGGUCCCCCACUCAACAGUUAUCAAAAUCCUCUGAUGCUCAAGUCUGCUAUACAUAUAAGUUCAAGUAUUUGCAUAUAACUGCUGCAUUACCACCUGUCCUUCUGCCCUUCUUUCUGACUAUACAAUUCAGUCUGACCUUGAACUUUUCAUGUAGUCCAGGCUGGCCUGUAACUCAAGGUGAUCCUCCUGAGUGCUGGGAUCACAGGCAUAUGCCACUUCACCAGACUCUAUUUAUAUGUUUUUGUUGUUAUUUUGGGACAGGGUCUCACUAGAUAGUUCAAAGUCACUUUUUUUUGGUACCAGGAAUUGAACUCAGGACUGAGCUCUAUCCCUGGCAUCACUAUGUAGUUCAAGUUGGUCUUGAACUCACUAUAUAGCUCAGGCUGGCCUCAAAGUUGCUGCAUUCCUCCUGCUUAGUUCUCCUGAGUACUGGCUGAAUAUUUUCAAUUCUUUCUAGAUUAUGGUUAAUACCUAAUGCCAUAAAAAAAUACCUAAUGCCAUGUAAAUGGCAUAUCAAUAGUUGUUAUAAUUAUUGUGUAGGGGAUGACAAGAAAAAAAUCUUAAAUUUAUAGCAAGCAGUUUAAUUUUCAAAUACUGGUUGGUUGAGGCCACAGAUAUACAAGGCUGACUACAAAGCAAAAUAAGCUCAAGCUAUACCCAGGAAGCAGCAACUGUGGCACCAGUUGCUGUGGUUUACUGGAUGUCCCCUGGCUCCUGGAGAUUCCUGGUGAUCACUUGUUAGUAAAAAUGGAAUCAGAACUUCUGCCUACUGACCCCUGUAAUCCCAGCACUCAGGAGGCUGAGGCAGGAGGAUUGCUGUAAGUUUUCAGCAAGUCUGGGCUACAUAGUGAGGUCUUGGACAGUCUGGGCUACAAAUCGAGACCCUGCCUCAAAAAAACCACUUCUGUCCAUUGGACUGGCCUGCUCCUGCUGAGAACAUCCAGAAAAGCUGAGUAUGGUUUCUGAAAUUUUAUUUGUCCCGUUUUGUGAGACAGGGUGUUGCUAUGUAAUUCAGGCUGGCCUCAAACUCUUGGUGAUCUUCCUGCCUCAGCCUCUUGAGUGCUGGAAUUACACAAGAGUGCUACCAUACCCAGUUCUCUGUUGCUGUUUUUAAAUUAUCUGAAGGCCCAGGACAACAAAGUACCCUUGAAAUCAUCCCCUCACUAAGGACUGACUGCUGAAUAUAGAAAGCCAAGAGCUGAUGGGGACACAGAAAACAAUAUAAACCAAUAGACCAGGCACAGUGGCAUAUACCUGUAUCCCAGCACUUGAGAGGCACAUGCAAGAGAACUGCUGGAAGUUUGAGGCCAGUCUGGGAUACAUAGUGAUUUUGUUUUUUUUGUUUUGGUACCACGGAUCAGAUCCAGAGCCUUGUGCUUGCCAGGCAAGUGCUGCACUGACCAGCUACCUCCUUGGCCCUACAUAGUGUGUUCAAGGUCAGCCUGCAUACAUAGCAUGACACUGGUCUAGUUUUGACUUUUCUUUUUUUAGGGUUCUGAAGGUUGAACAUGUUAGGUAAAGGCAAACAAUUCCACCAUCUCACCAGCCCUUUUUUAUUUAGAGGAAAAAAAAACCCUUGAAAAGGUAUGCUACUUAGAAAUAAACAGAGGAGACCUGGGUGUGGUGGUGCACACCUGUAAUCCCAGUACUCCAGAGGCUAAGGAAAGAGGAUCACCAGUUCAAGGCCAGCAUGCAUACACAGUGAGUACAGUCAGCCUAAACCACACACAAAGACCUUGUCUCAAGACCCUUCUUCUCCCAAAAAAACAAAUAGGCAUAGGAAAUAUACUACUUUCAAGUGAGAGAAUCGACUCCCCGUUUGUAAUGUAAUCCCCCCCCCCCAGCUAUAGAACAGAGCAGUAAGGAAUGUGUCACUCCCUAAAUCCUCCUUGAGAUAUCGGGGCAGGACAGGAAGGAAUGCAUCUGCUAGUCAUUAACCACAAGAUGAUCUGUCCUCUGUAAAGAUAAAGAUAAGUAAAGGAAUGUGCUAGAUUAGACCAGGACUCUCGGUCUCCAUGGUUACUCAGCCCCAGAUCCCUCGAAUCAGCAUCUGCCAAGUCCUGCGCCGUUCAAAAUUAACCAAUGCGAUCUGCUUCUGUAAACCCGCUUGUGCCCUUAAAAACCCUGCACAAAUUCCCCUCGUGGCCCUCCGCACUCGUUUGCCUGGAGGACCCCAUGCGCAUGGAAAUAAACUUUUUUCCCUCACCAA
Cavia porcellus (domestic guinea pig) is the source of this 6646-nucleotide long non-coding RNA. RefSeq lists it as uncharacterized. The transcript is spliced from 2 exons. The record is from RefSeq and is a predicted model, not a curated record. Lineage: Eukaryota; Metazoa; Chordata; Mammalia; Rodentia; Caviidae.